UACGUAGGUGGCGAGCGUUGUCCGGAAUUACUGGGUGUAAAGCGCGUGUAGGCGGGAGGCCAAGUCUGUGGUGAAAUCGCUCGGCUUAACUGGGCGGGGUCCAUGGAAACUGGUCACCUGGAGGUCGGUAGAGGCAAGUGGAAUUCCCGGUGUAGUGGUGAAAUGCGUAGAGAUCGGGAGGAACACCAGUGGCGAAGGCGGCUUGCUGGGCCGGACCUGACGCUGAGACGCGACAGCGUGGGGAGCAAACAGG
This 253-nucleotide ribosomal RNA is filed under the name uncultured bacterium. Its description in RNAcentral is "partial 16S ribosomal RNA". It matches the Rfam family "Bacterial small subunit ribosomal RNA", at positions 524 to 776 of the family's 1533-position model. The record is from RNAcentral.